RNAcentral lists this microRNA precursor (167 nucleotides) under Pelobates cultripes (western spadefoot toad). Lineage: Eukaryota; Metazoa; Chordata; Amphibia; Anura; Pelobatidae. The record is from RNAcentral.
GGUCAGCUGACACAUCCCUGCCAAUCUCCGGCAGACCCUCCCUCCUAGACCCUCCCACCUCCUGUACAGCAUCCAUGUUGAAGCUGCCUUCAACAUGGAUGCUGUCCAGGAAGUAGGAGGGUCUGGGAGGGAGGGUCUGCCGGAGAUUGGCAGGGAUGUGUAAGCUG